AACCUCAUAGAAAGAAGAAGCUGAAAUCUGAUAGAAAGAAGAAGCAUUCACACAGGUGCUACACUCAGCUGGGGCGGAACCAAUCUGCGGCUGCAGGUUUGCUACCUGCAGCAUAAAAAGGGACACACGCAGCACUGAGGAGGAACGGAGAAUGAAUGACCUCCUCAAACAAAGUGGCUGUGAGCGUGAGGAUCUGCGGAAAACUGUGCAGGACUGCUUCAUCUACAAAAAUCCGGGUAGCAGCCGAUAAUGAAGUGCUGCCUAAGCAAGACAAACCGCAUAGGGAUCUACUCAAGAGGCCACCUGACUACCAAGUUAGCUGUUUAAUUAGUAAACUACUGUUCAUCAGUAGUAAUAGGGUGGAUUCCAGUCAUCCUUCUUCCCAGCAACAUUUUGUAGCUUCAACCUGGAGCUUCCCAAUGCAUCCCGAGGCCAGAUGAGAUAUGUAAUCCCUUCAGCGAGUUCUGGGCUCGUCUUGGGGUCUCUUCUCUCAUGAGUGCAUCCAGAAAACUUCCAAUGGAAGGCACCCAAGAAGCAACGUGAUUACAAAGGUGAGCCUACUUCAAGCUUCUUCCAGAAAGUCAU
Long non-coding RNA from Amphiprion ocellaris (clown anemonefish), 585 nucleotides. RefSeq lists it as uncharacterized. The record is from RefSeq and is a predicted model, not a curated record. Lineage: Eukaryota; Metazoa; Chordata; Actinopteri; Pomacentridae. The transcript is spliced from 3 exons.